CCUACGGGAGGCAGCAGUAGGGAAUCUUCCGCAAUGGACGAAAGUCUGACGGAGCAACGCCGCGUGAGCGAAGAAGGUCUUCGGAUCGUAAAGCUCUGUUGUCGGGGAAGAAAAAUAACGUUAGGAAUGGCCGGUACCUUAACGUUACCCGCCGGAAAAGCACCGCCUAACUACGGGCAAGCGGCGGCGGUAAUACGUAGGUGGAAAGGGUGUCCGGAAAUAACGGGGCGUAAAGCGGGCGCAGGGGGUCCUUUAGGUCUGAUGUGAAAUCUUGCGGCUCAACCGCAAGCGGUCAUUGGAAACUGGGGGACUUGAGUGCAGAAGAGGAAAGCGGAAUUCCACGUGUAGCGGUGAAAUGCGUAGAGAUGUGGAGGAACACCAGUGGCGAAGGCGGCUUUCUGGUCUGUAACGGACGCUGAGGCGCGAAAGCGUGGGGAGCAAACAGGAUUAGAUACCCGUGUAGUC
This 465-nucleotide ribosomal RNA is filed under the name uncultured bacterium. RNAcentral's name for it is "bacterial SSU rRNA". It matches the Rfam family "Bacterial small subunit ribosomal RNA", at positions 338 to 795 of the family's 1533-position model. The record is from RNAcentral.